CGCUCCGAGCGCAGGAGUUUGGUGAUGUCACCCUGGCCUGGUCUGGAGCCGAGCCAGGGCUGCUGGCAGGCUGGAGCCGCUCGCCCUGCGCGGGGAGAGGCCCAGGCCUGCUGCGCCCGCACGGGCGGGCGGCUCAAUUCCACGCGGUUUCCUAACCGGGCCGGGCCUUCUGGGGACCGCGGCACCUCACAGGCCGUAUGCGCCCCAACCUAGAUCCGGUCGAGCGCGGGAGCCUGCUUCCCCGAGGCGAGAUUGAGGCCGUGGAGGGGAGUGUGGGCAGACGGAGGGCUGGACGCCGGUGCCUCUCAAGAGUUUAAGGAGUCGCGGAGGGCAGUGAAUGCUGGAAGACACUCAGGGUUUCGACUCUGCAGAUAGGUGCUGUCUGCUGAGGUCCAGACCCUUAAGGAUCUCCGGAACCAGCCAGGGUCACACCACUCGCACACCUCCUGAAGGCCCCUCACUUGAGCCCAGGCUCCAGUGAUGGAAAGCAUUUGUAGGGUGCGAAAAUUGCCGCCUAAGCCAAGGGCAGGUGUGCUGGUUGAAUGUGGGGUCCCGGGCUGGAGGACUCUCCCCCUCAGGCCGUCUUCCCAGUACUGGAACGAGGAGGCUCCACUAUGGGCAGGGGAGGCUUUAGCACAUGGAGAAAGACUUAUUUUCUAAAUUAGGAAAUCAUGUGGGAAUUGGAAAAAAUUGGAAAUUCUGACUUGCUUUCCCAGGGUCGGAAAAAAACAGGAAGACAAAAGUGAAAAUAGUUAACGCCCCUCCCACUCAUUUCAGUUUCUCACUCGGCGAAGAUUAGAAAAAGCGGUUUAAUGCUGUGCGGGGGCGGCUUCAAGGCGACAGAAUGAAUUAUGAUCUCUGAUUAAGGGCACACAGCCGUCAUUGAUCCUUGCACGAACCACUUUUUAAAACGAACAUACAGUUUAAUAUGAAAACCUGUGAUCUUAUCGAAAAGGGCUAGAAAUGGCAGCUCAUUAGAGGGCUGGCUUAAUAUGCAGGAAACUGGGUUUGACCCUGACCCCAUGAUGGCUAGCAGUCCCAGCACUCAUGGGGUCAGAAGUUCAAGGUCAUCUGCCACUACAUAGCUUGAGAGCCUCUCUGAAAACGAAUGACUACAGGCUGGAGAAAUAGCCCACCCGUUAAGAUCCACUGACUCCCUCACCGAGCAGCUCACAACUGUAACCCCAGCCUCAGGAGACCCCACACUGUCCUGGACUCUUGAGGGCAAGGGCACUCAACCUGUGCAAGGACCCACACAGACACACGUGCAUACAUAAUUAAAAAUAUAGAUUUAAUCCCGGCACUCUGGAGACAGAGGCAGGAGGAUUUCUGAGUUUGAGGCCAGUGUGGUAAAUUCAUAGUGGUGCUGGCCAGCCAGGAUUACACAGACCCUGUCUCAAAAGAGAAAAACAAACGGAGCUUUGUUUACAUAGAGUUCUGGGUCAACCAGGGCUGUGCAGUGAAACUGUCUCAGAGGAGAGGCUAGAAGUACAGCUCAGUGUCCGAGCACUUGACCAGCAUGUUGGGGACCCUGCUUUCCAUCCCCAAUACUUGAAAAAAAGAAGUCAAGAGAAUGAAGGGGAUGCAUAGGACACCCACCUCACCCAUGUCCACAAAUGUGCUCCUCGCUGGCCAUUCUUUUUUCCUUGAGUUCAGGCUCCUCCCACGCAGAUUUCUACACUUUAAAGAGAAACCUCGUCACGUGCACACAUCAUCUGUGUGCAUCUCUGUGGGAGCAUGCUGCAGUCACAUGGAAGUCAGGACAGCUUUUCACCACGUGGGUCCCUAGGAUCAAACCCAGAUUGUCAGGCUUGAUGACAGGUGUUUUUUGUUUUUGUUUGUUUGUUUGUUUGUUUUGAGACAGGAUUUCUCAGUGUAGGACUCACACUGUAGACCAGGCUGGCCUUAGACUCGCUGAGAUCUGCCUCCUGAGUGCUGGGGCGAAAGGUGUGCACCUCCAUACACAGCACACAUUAUCUCGUUCUCUACUUAGAGUUUACCAUUACUGUGUGCCCGUGCCGUCCAUGGAUGUGGAGGUCGGAGGCGAGCGCUGAGGAGUGUUCAGGUGCCUGUAGAGUCCAGAAGAGGAGAGAAAUCCCCCAGAGCUGCUGUUACAGUCAACUGUGAGGAGCCAGAUGCGGGUGCUAAGGCACCACCCGGGGAACCAUGUAAUUACAGAAGUGUAUGAGAUGCUUCAAGUUACUGUGGUGGAGCAAGAAUGGCCUCCAUAGGAUCAUGUAUUUGGAUGCUUGGUCUUCAAGGAGUGACAGUACUUGAGAGGAAUUAGGAGUUUGCCUGUGUCCACUGUGCUUCCCAGUGUGCUGACGAUGGAUUAAACCCGAGGCUGUAAGCCAGCCAGCAAGCAGCACCCUCACGGCCUCUGCAUCAGCUCCUGCCUCCAGGUUCCUCCCCUUGUUUGCGUUCUUGCCCUGAUUUCCCUUGGUAAUGGGACUGUUACUAGGAAGUAUAAGAUGAAAUAAACCCUUUC
Molecule: long non-coding RNA, 2488 nt
Organism: Meriones unguiculatus (Mongolian gerbil)
Lineage: Eukaryota; Metazoa; Chordata; Mammalia; Rodentia; Muridae
Exons: 3
Source: RefSeq, a predicted model, not a curated record